Molecule: ribosomal RNA, 465 nt
Filed under: uncultured bacterium
Lineage: Bacteria
Description: partial 16S ribosomal RNA
Rfam family: Bacterial small subunit ribosomal RNA
Source: RNAcentral
GACGAACGCUGGCGGCGUGCUUAACACAUGCAAGUCGUACGGUAAGGCCCUUUCGGGGGUACACGAGUGGCGAACGGGUGAGUAACACGUGAGUAACCUGCCCACAACUUUGGGAUAACGCUAGGAAACUGGUGCUAAUACUGGAUAUGUGCUCCUGCUGCGUGGUGGGGGUUGGAAAGCUCCGGCGGUUGUGGAUGGACUCGCGGCCUAUCAGCUUGUUGGUGGGGUAGUGGCCUACCAAGGCGGCGACGGGUAGCCGGCCGGAGAGGGUGACCGGCCACAUUGGGACUGAGAUACGGCCCAGACUCCUACGGGAGGCAGCAGUGGGGAAGAUUGCACAAUGGGCGCAAGCCUGAUGCAGCAAAGCCGCGUGCGGGAUGACGGCCUUCGGGUUGGAAACCGCUUUCAGCAGGGACGAAGCUUUUUGUGACGGUACCUGCAGAAGAAGCACCGGCUAACUACGUG